Vicia villosa (hairy vetch) is the source of this 533-nucleotide long non-coding RNA. RefSeq lists it as uncharacterized. Lineage: Eukaryota; Viridiplantae; Streptophyta; Magnoliopsida; Fabales; Fabaceae. The record is from RefSeq and is a predicted model, not a curated record. The transcript has 3 exons.
UCAUUUCUCUAAUUCUCUCUCUUGCACAAAAUCUUCUUCUUCCUUCAACCUCAAAUCUUCUUGCUUCUUCAUCUUUUUCUUCUUCGUUCUACCUUUUCUUCUUCUUCCUCCUCUUUUUCUUAUUGAAACCAAAUCGAAACAACCACUGAUCUGUGAUAUCAAUUUAUGAUUUCAAAAAUAAACUCAGAUCUUCCUCUUCUUAUUUCUUCUACAAAUCUUUGUUUAUUUUAUAUAUUUUUAUUAACUAACUUAAUUUUUUCAUUUGUCUGUUUUUCAGUUGUUAUUUAUCACUCAUCACUUAGAUCUGGAAAUUAAAGAGGAUUAAAACAUGCUGGAAAUAAUGAAGAUGAAGAGACGGAUAAAUUUCAUCAACAGAAACAAAGUUAUUAAUGAGUGGAUUGAUAAGCCAAAUUUUUGUAAAAGGUACAAUGGUUUGUCAGCAUUGAUCAUCGAUAUAAGUGUUGCAAGAGUGCAUUGUAAAGCCAAAUUUUUGUCUUUCCUCAUACACAACAGUAGGAUGUAGACUUUUCUAA